UAGCACAUACUCUCAUUCCUGGUCACCCCUCGUUGCUGGACUACAGCGCUGUGGCUGUUCCCUCAGGGGCACCCCUAGCUGGGUCACCCAAAGGACCUAGCUGAUGCGGGUGGCCAGGGUUGGGUGAUGAGGAUCCAUCAAACAUCACGCGGUUUGCACCGUGGGGUUUGUCACUAUUUGUUCCCUGACUGAAAGCUUUGAACAGCCACGGAGUCCUUCCCCACCCGCCGCAGGGUGGGGCCCCCCCGGGCUCAGCAGGCGCCCCCCGGCGGCACCCCGUGCCCCGGCACCCUGGGCGCCCACUCUGAGCGUGCGGGUCUGGGAACACGGCCUGGCCUCGCCGGACCCUGUCUCUGGGACAGUUUUCUAAACUCAGCUCUGACAAAAAGUAAAUUUAUGACAGAUUUAUCUGGAGGAGGAGGCGGCAGUGGAGGGUGACACACUGCGAGCCAUGAGCGGAGAGCCCGAGACACAGAGCAGAUAAACACGCCAGCAGCCAGAUCCCUCCGGGAUGACAAAUGGCUUCCUCUCCACGGUGGGGGUGCACCUCGGAGCAGCCGGAGCCCGCACCCGGCAAAGGCCCCACAAGGCCCCGCAGGGAGACGCUGCUGCCGCAGAAUCCCACAACCCUGGCCCGUCCCCAGGCACCGGGAUGCCGCCCUCUUCAUGCCAGCCCCGCACGACAGGGGAAUUACAGUGAAUUGGGGACCGUGUGGUGACACGCUGCCUGUCCCCGGGAGCGAGCGAAGGACCUCCCGGGACAAUCAGAUCCCUGGAAGUGGGGGCAGGAGCCGGAGGAAUGUGGACGGGCAGUGGCUGAAGUCCAGGUCCCCUGCCUUCAGGAAGGUGGCCACCCCCACGAGACGAGCAUGGCAGCUCCGGAAGGACAUUGAAGGGCAAGAGGAGCCCAGGGCAGUCCACUGACAGCGCUUUUAAACGAGUCCAGAAAGGAUGAAGCAGUGAGAUGAAGGGAUUUAGGGGGUGGCUGGUGACGGGGACACGGAGAAGACUCAGUCAUGAGAGGAGCCGCCUGAGCCAGCCUCUGAGCCAGCCUCUGAGCGGGGGACUGGCCCUGGCCACCUCGUCCGGGGAUUUCCGGGUCUGUGUGGGACAACUGUGACCACAACAGGCCGCACCAAGCCCAGGCUCUGGCCCCAGCUGCCCCCAGGACAGAGUGGCCGCGGCUAGCCCGCGCGUCCCCCCUGCCGCAGGCCCUGGCCGCAGCUGGAAAUGGGCCAGCUCUGACCCAGGGAGGCCCUGAGUCCCGGGGCCCGACUCUUGUCUCACCAGAGGACUCAGGCCUCGAGAGCCACCAGGAGCCUGGCUGACCUCGAGGAGCAGGGUCCCUCCCGCCACUGCCUGCCUCGGACGCGACGUGAGCAGGAGGUCCUCUCAGGCACUCGGGGGUUACUGACCGCGUGGUCAUCUCAGCACUGUGAGCUACUGGUCAGAGCGCAAUCGGGGCUCCCACGAGCAGAUGUGGGCCUGAGUGGCUUCGGUGUAUGGACCAUCAAAUAAUGACAAGAGAAAACGGAGCCCCCCCAGGGCGGGAGCAGGACACGUCACCCCGCCGGGAAGCGGCAGCCCAAAGACAGGACCCAGGUGUGAUGGACUGAAGGGUCUCGCGAGAUGGCCCUGACUACCUGGCUGGGGCCACCUCUGUAGACAAGGUCCUCGUCCGGCCUGCGGGGGAUCUGAGACACUCCAGAGGGGGCCAGGCAGAGACGGAGGCAGAACCUGGUG
Marmota monax (woodchuck) is the source of this 1743-nucleotide long non-coding RNA. RefSeq lists it as uncharacterized. Lineage: Eukaryota; Metazoa; Chordata; Mammalia; Rodentia; Sciuridae. The record is from RefSeq and is a predicted model, not a curated record. The transcript is spliced from 5 exons.